This 435-nucleotide ribosomal RNA is filed under the name uncultured cyanobacterium. RNAcentral describes it as "bacterial SSU rRNA". It matches the Rfam family "Bacterial small subunit ribosomal RNA", at positions 28 to 507 of the family's 1533-position model. The record is from RNAcentral. Lineage: Bacteria; Bacillati; Cyanobacteriota.
GAUGAACGCUGGCGGUCUGCUUAACACAUGCAAGUCGAACGGAGUAGCAAUACUUAGUGGCGGACGGGUGAGUAACGCGUGAGAAUCUGCCCUUAGGUCGGGGACAACCAUUGGAAACGAUGGCUAAUACCGGAUAAGCCCGUGGGUAAAAGAUUAAUUGCCUAGGGAAGAGCUCGCGUCUGAUUAGCUAGUUGGUGAGGUAAAGGCUCACCAAGGCAUCGAUCAGUAGCUGGUCUGAGAGGAUGACCAGCCACACUGGGACUGAGACACGGCCCAGACUCCUACGGGAGGCAGCAGUGGGGAAUUUUCCGCAAUGGGCGAAAGCCUGACGGAGCAAGACCGCGUGAGGGAGGAAGGCUCUUGGGUUGUAAACCUCUUUUCUUGGGGAAGAAAAAAAUGACGGUACCCAAGGAAUCAGCAUCGGCUAACUCCGUG